Molecule: ribosomal RNA, 261 nt
Filed under: uncultured bacterium
Lineage: Bacteria
Description: partial 16S ribosomal RNA
Rfam family: Bacterial small subunit ribosomal RNA
Source: RNAcentral
UACAGAGGGUGCAAGCGUUUGUUCGGAAUUAUUGGGCGUAAAGCGCGUGUAGGCGGCAUGGCAAGUCGGGUGUGAAAGCCCUCGGCUCAACUGAGGAAGUGCACCCGAAACUGGCGAGCUUGAGUACGAAAGAGGAUCGCGGAAUUCCCGGUGUAGAAGGUGAAAUUCGUAGAGAUCCGGAGGAAGACCGGUGGCGAAGGCGGCCUGCUGGGACAGUUACUGACGACUGAGGCGCGGACAGCCGAUGGGGAGCAAACAGGG